Molecule: ribosomal RNA, 1404 nt
Filed under: Triticum aestivum (bread wheat)
Lineage: Eukaryota; Viridiplantae; Streptophyta; Magnoliopsida; Poales; Poaceae
Description: partial small subunit ribosomal RNA
Source: RNAcentral
AUGAACAAUUAUGGCGUCAAGAUCAAGCAUAUCAGAAGUGAUAACGGCACUGAAUUCAAGAACACCGGGCUUGAUCUUUAUCUGGAUACAAUGGGAAUCACUCAUGAGUUUUCUGCUCCAUACACACCUCAGCAAAAUGGCAUUGUAGAGCGCAAGAACAGAACCCUCAUUGAGAUGGCUCAAACAAUGCUCGACGAGUACAAGACACCAAGAAAGUUCUGGCCUGAAGCUAUUGAUACAGCAUGUCACAUCAUCAACCGUGUCUACAUCCAUAAGCUUCUGAACAAAACAUCCUAUGAGCUCCUCACUGGAAAGAAGCCAAAUGUCAGCUACUUCAGAGUAUUUGGUGCAAGGUGCUGGAUCAAGGAUCCCCAUCACAAGUCAAAAUUUGCACCUAAAGCUCACGAAGGCUUCAUGCUCGGUUAUGGAAAGGACUCGCACUCUUACAGAGUCUUCAACCUCUAUCACUACAAAAUCGUUGAAACUAUGGACGUGCGAUUUGAUGAAACCAAUGGUUCACAACGAGAGCUCCUGCCAAGCACACUAUAUGAAGCUCCUCCCAACGAAUCUAUCAAGCUGAUGGGAACUGGUGAAAUCAUGCCUUCUGAAGCACAGCCUGAAGAGGAACUUAUCAUUUCUGCACCAAACCAACCUGAAGACAAUGCUCAGACCGAAGACAAUCCUCCCAAUGAUGACAAUGAUCAGCAUGAGCAAGGUCUUCGUCCAGUUCAUCCUCGUAUUGCAAAUGAAGUACAAAUUGAGAAGAUAAUUGAUAGCAUCAAUGCACCUGGUCCACUUACUCGCUCAAGAGCAACACAAUUAGCAAAUUUCUGUGGGCAUUUUUCAUUUGUGUCAAUAUCAGAACCCAAGAAAGUUGUUGAAGCCUUUAUGGAACCUGAAUGGAUUCAAGCCAUGCAAGAAGAACUUCAACAGUUCAAGCUGAAUAAUGUUUGGGAACUUGUCAAGCGCCCUAACCCUUGCAAGCAUAACAUUAUUGGCACUAAAUGGAUAUAUCAGAACAAGCAAGAUGAGAAUGCUCAAGUCGUUAGAAACAAAGCACGUCUUGUAGCUCAAGGAUAUACUCAAGUUGAAGGAAUUGACUUCGAUGAAACAUUUGCUCCUGUGGCUAGGCUUGAAGCUAUUCGCAUACUGCUAGCCUAUGCUAAUCACCAUAACAUCUUGCUAUAUCAAAUGCAUGUGAAGAGUGCAUUCCUCAAUAGCAAGAUUGAAGAAGAAGUGUACGUUGCUCAACCACCUGGCUUUGAAGAUCCAAAACAUCCUGAUAUGGUGUACAAACUAAACAAAGCACUAUAUGGCCUCAAACAAGCUCCUCGCGCUUGGUAUGAUACGAUCAAAGACUUCCUGAAGAGCAAAGGCUUCAAACCUGGAUCCCUCGAUCCCACA